UACCUGUUCCCGAAAAUUGUGGCUACAGCUGAUUGAAGAGACAAAAAAUUAUUAUCUAAAGUUUUAUCCCUUGAUUGAAUCAAAUCCUAUGGGGACAUACAAAGCAAUUGGAAUGAAGAUGGUGUCUGCUUAUCCAUCCAUCAAGCGUGAAGGCUUGUUUCCAUGGAGUCAGUUUACUAGGGCCCUCAGUCAGAGCAUUCGAACUGAGCGUUAUAAACAGAAGAGAAAGAGCAUGCCUCAUGUACAACAUGCUCAUCCAGCCCCCAAAAGAUUUGCUUUGGGUAGGAAGCAGUUUACCACUAUAGAGAAUCAAGAACGUGAGCUGACCGAAGACGAAUUCGUGAGGCACACCAAAGAACUUUGCCAGGAAAUGAAAAAGAAAAAUCUUAACACUGAGCAUAUAAAUAUGCUUUUAACUGCUACAAUGGUGAACCGACAAAAGUGGAUAUCAACACUUCCUGGUGGACUCAUCUCACCAAUAUUGAUGAAGUUCCCUUGCUUCUGGAAGAGCAGUUUUAUCAAAACUGAGAUGGAAAGACUUCUCAAGGAUACCACUGAAAGCUGGAAGACUAAAUUGAACAAGAUAUGUGACACACUGAUUAAGAAGGUUCCCAAGACUGACCAUCAUAGUUCACUGCAUGAAUAUGAUGUAAUUCACUACAUUGAAAAUGAAAUUUCCUUCAAAC
Molecule: long non-coding RNA, 686 nt
Organism: Eriocheir sinensis (Chinese mitten crab)
Lineage: Eukaryota; Metazoa; Arthropoda; Malacostraca; Decapoda; Varunidae
Exons: 4
Source: RefSeq, a predicted model, not a curated record